GAAGCCAGUGGCUGAAGCGAGGCGCCGACAGGAUCUGGAAGUAACAGGGAGAAGGGAACAGAGGCUGCUGAAGACCUGAGCAAUGGCGGUUCCAGAAGGCCGCAGCAUCUACGAGGUCCUUGGCACCGUCCUCUACCGCACCGUACCCGUCAACAUCGACGAUGCAAACGUGCAGCGGAAGCAGCAGCAGCAGUGGGAUGAUUUCAACGUCCCUCUUGACUACGACACAGCGCUGGCGCUGCGCGAGAUCGAUGAGGCGACCAUGGCGGCGCGUUACCUGGCUACCAAAGCAAGGGGUGCCGCUUCCGCCACUGCUGGCGGUGCCACAUCCCGUGAUGGGGCCAUGGUGGCGGACAGGGUGUCUUCUGCAACAACAACGCGUGCGUCGGCGGCCGCGACGUCUACAGUGCCAGUGCCGCCUCAGCGAUCUAGCACGCCGUCCUUUACGUCGGCGCGCCAUGGUGGCUCAGGCAGCGGCGGAGGACAGCUUUCCGCUGCGAAGACGUCGCAGUGUGCUCUCAGAUUCGGAAGUCCGAGCGAGAAUUCCUUGGCGACCAACUUCAGAAGCAGUGUAGAGGUUGCAGGGGGCCAGCGGAACGCGAGCGAAGCUGUAGACAUUGCAACACAGAACGCCUAUCUCGUUAAGGCACGCAUGAACGCUGCUGCUGCGGCGAAGUCAACCGGCAGUGGUACUGGUGUGGUUCCAGCUGCAGCGCGGUCGAGCCGUGAUGGCAUCGGCGCGAUGACGGUGGCGCAAGCAAUGGAGAUCUUGUUCCCUGUAGAGGCGGUGGGCUACGGCGGUGGUAGCAGAGAGGAUUCCGCCAAAGACGGCGAAGAAAAGGCGAGUGAUGGCGCGCCGACACCUCCGCUCUCCGCUUCCACAUCUCGGGUUCUUAGCUCAGCAACAGCCGCUGCGGCCAGAAGUGCCGCCAGCACGCCGGUGAUGUGGCGCAGAGCCGACGUGGCUCACCUGUCUCGCCUGGACGUAGUUCUCCUCUACAAGCACCUUGAACGCCGCUGCGCCUGCGAGUCGGCGCGCCCUCGGGGGGUGGUGUGCCCGAAUCGGGAAUGCAUCUACAACGACGGCCUCCGCGAGCUGAUCCGGCAAGUGACCCUCCUGUGCCCGGAGCGCGGCCUUCUGCUCGACGAGUUAGCCCGUCGCAUGCGCCAAGCGAUCGAGACAUACGACGUGUUGCUCGACAGCGCAAACCAGUACGCGGUGCGCAAGAGCACCGAGCGUGACCUGCAUCAGUACCUGUUUGCGGAGAAGACCGACCUUGAGACGGAGGUGCGCCGUCGUGAGCAUCGCGUCAACGAGUGGCGCGCCAAGUACGCCGGCCUACAAAAACGCUUUCAAGAGCAGCAAGAGGCGGACAGAAAGCUGCACGCAGAGGAAAUCGCCUACGCCAAGCGUGCCAACCAGCAACUCGUGAGCGAAAUCAAGCGCCUCGCCUCGGAGGCGGGGAAGGCCAAGGGGGCCUGAAACGUCUGCUAUAGAUUUCACGCCGGCGUGGCUUCGACGCCGCGUAUGGAACGUAUGGCGCACGGCUGGUCUGGAUGUAUACGACACACAACAUACACACACACAGAGACAGAGGUGUGUGCAUGUGUGUUGUUUUGUGUUGUGUGUCGGGACUCUCUUGCGCUUCCUGAUUUCUUUGGUCUCCUUUCCGUUUCCGUUGUUCUUCCUCCUCCACUUAGUUUGCUCAUCAUCGUCGGCUUUGCCGAGCUCGCUGGUGUGCUGUUGUGCAUAUUUGCGUGUGCGUGAGUGCGUGUGCGUGUGUGCAUGUCUCUACGGAUUCGCCCUACCUCAGCGCCACCGCUGCCACCCCGCCCCAUCUCUCUGUCGCUCCUUCCUCUUCCGCCUCCAUGCAAGGAAAGAGAACAAGAGCGAGAGAUGGACAGCAGAGGCAGCAGAGGCGAUGUGCACGUCCGUGAGUGUGCGAUGUAAUCUAGGCGUUGGACUUCGGCUACGGCCGCUGUUGUUUUCCGAGCACUGCCAAAAGAACGUAUUACAGCAGCACGUCUGCAAACUUAGUCGCAGCGACGGAUGCCGUGCUGUGUCUGGGCGGAGGGUCACGCAUGUGCACAUCCGUUCACGCAGACGUGCAUUUCGGUGUGUUGGGGAGGGGAGAUAAGGGGAGGGGGCGGAACGUAUAUGCAACUGAUCGUGCUUUGGGCACGGCCUUCAUGUGCAACUGGUGCUGCAAUGCCCUUCAUGAACUUGUGCAGCAGCGCAGCACGCGUGCACUCUUCUCUUGGUAUCCAUGUGUGUCUGUGUACUUUCCCACCCGCCUGCCCACUCUUUUCACGGGUAUCCGUUUCCCAUUCGACGCACCACCACUAUCCCUCUCUCUCCUCUUCUUCCUCCUCCCCUGUGGCGCCAUGCUGUUGCUAUCUCUAUAUCCCUGUCCAACACACAAACCCACGCUAAACCGUCACAG
RNAcentral lists this unclassified non-coding RNA (2444 nucleotides) under Leishmania donovani. RNAcentral describes it as "gene:LdHU3.26.1380(CDS-product:Axonemal_dynein_li ght_chain_putative)". Lineage: Eukaryota; Euglenozoa; Kinetoplastea; Trypanosomatida; Trypanosomatidae. The record is from RNAcentral.